This 417-nucleotide unclassified non-coding RNA is filed under the name uncultured Physalacriaceae. RNAcentral's name for it is "sequence contains ITS1". The stretch from base 1 to 105 matches the Rfam family "5.8S ribosomal RNA", at positions 50 to 154 of the family's 154-position model. Lineage: Eukaryota; Fungi; Basidiomycota; Agaricomycetes; Agaricales; Physalacriaceae. The record is from RNAcentral.
GAAUUGCGAUAACUAAUGUGAAUUGCAGAAUUCAGUGAAUCAUCGAGUCUUUGAACGCACCUUGCGCCUUUUGGCAUUCCGAAAGGCAUGCCUGUUUGAGUGUCAGUAAAUUCUCAACCUAUCAUUGCUUUUUGAGUGGUGAAUAGGAUUGGAUGUGGAAGUCUGCUGGAUUUAUGUUCAGCUCUUCUAAAAUGCAUUAGCAGUAACCGUACUUUGGCAUGCUUCAAGCUGUGAUAAUAUCUUAGUUUGAACUGUUGAGUGACAAAGACUGGUAUGAAGAGUUACUUAAAUGUUCUCUUUGGCUUCUCCAUUAUUGGGGAUACUUGUCCAGCUUUGUGAUUGCUGCUUAUAAUCGUCUGAAUAGACAAUUACUUGAAAUUUGACCUCAAAUCAGGUAGGACUACCCGCUGAACUUAA